GACGAACGCUGGCGGCGUGCCUAAUACAUGCAAGUUGAACGAUGAAGCUUGGUGCUUGCACCAAUUUGAAGAGCAGCGAACGGGUGAGUAAAGCGUGGGGAAUCUGCCUUUGAGCGGGGGACAACAUUUGGAAACGAAUGCUAAUACCGCAUAAUAACUUUAAACAUAAGUUUUAAGUUUGAAAGAUGCAAUUGCAUCACUCAAAGAUGAUCCCGCGUUGUAUUAGCUAGUUGGUGAGGUAAAGGCUCACCAAGGCGAUGAUACAUAGCCGACCUGAGAGGGUGAUCGGCCACAUUGGGACUGAGACACGGCCCAAACUCCUACGGGAGGCAGCAGUAGGGAAUCUUCGGCAAUGGACGAAAGUCUGACCGAGCAACGCCGCGUGAGUGAAGAAGGUUUUCGGAUCGUAAAACUCUGUUGGUAGAGAAGAACGUUGGUGAGAGUGGAAAGCUCAUCAAGUGACGGUAACUACCCAGAAAGGGACGGCUAACUACGUG
RNAcentral lists this ribosomal RNA (497 nucleotides) under uncultured bacterium. RNAcentral describes it as "partial 16S ribosomal RNA". It matches the Rfam family "Bacterial small subunit ribosomal RNA", at positions 28 to 507 of the family's 1533-position model. The record is from RNAcentral.